GGUGGGGACGCUUUCCCUGUCUAGAGCAGCUCGGCCUUCUCCUGGGAGAAGGAUGAUGUCCUUGGGAGAGGCCAGCCUGUGAGGCAUGACUUGGUGGAGAGCUACAAAGCAGAGGGAAGGGACUUCYAGAAAUGACCUGGGACGCUUGACUCCGCCGUGACAGCAGUGAUUCUAGUGUGCUCGUUUUCACCAGGCUGAUGCAAGGUCUGUGAACAUCACACGUGAAGCUCCAGCUGCUUCAGCCUGCUCUUCACGUGUGCGUGAACCUGGACUAAGCUCAUUACUCUUUGCUUAAGAAAGACACCUUCUGCUCGCUUGUGUGUGCCCCCACUCAAGCAGGGUAAGAGGCAGCGAAUAUGAUCCUUUGAGCAAUCAUUUUAGAAAACAGCUUUUUGGCAAAAUGUAUGGGGGCCAAUUUGUCAGCAGAACRCAGGGGACGGAUAUUUGUGAAAGAAAAUGGGCUGCUGGGACCCACCAGACGCUGUCUGUGGGCAUUUUCCCCAUUGAUUGCUUGUUUUCUUGCAGUAUUUGGAGGUUUCUGGGCUAGGUUCCCACAGCUCGAAGUGCCAUCCAUACCUGUCCCAAACAGCUGCCAAGCUACAUUUAUCAGACUGCAUUUUGCAUUCCUGGUCUGGAAACUUAAAAAUCAGGUUUCCCCCAGAAAUUCCAUGGGGACAUGGGUAGAAGGAAAGUAGCCUUCUGUUCACUUUGCACAGCCUUUCAUUAAGUUCUUUUAAACAACCUGCCAUCACAUCUCUACAUGUCCAGCAAAGCAGCCGCACGGGCUCCCCAGGUGCCUCCGUUUGGGUUCUUGCCACGCGAGGUCUCCUCGGAGGUGGUGGUUGUUUCUACUUGGCCAUCGACUCCCUCUGUGCUUGAAGAGCAAGACAGGGAAAUAGCAGCAAGUGUGAUUAGGGCUUUAUUGUGAGCUCCUCAGAUCUCUAUUUUCUGUGGUGAACAAUGUCCUGGAGCGGCUGGGAGCUGCACCCCACGAACCUUUCACAGUGAAUUUUUUCAAAGCACUGAAUAAGGGAGGCAAUCAGCCCCUCCUGGGUCUGGAGAGGAUGUGGGUGUUGAUGCCUGCUGUGCCUUUGAGACCUCUCCCCUUGGCAGCCUGCUUUCUUCAGGAAUUGAGGCUAACGUGAAGGCUCUGUCACCGCUGCCACCUGCUUUGAACCACACCUGAAYGGUCUCAGAUGUUUCCUAGAACAGUCUAGGCUUUCUUCUGAAGCGGAGCUACCACUGCCUCUGCCCAGGGUAAGCCAAUAUUCUUCGGGUUUGGAAGCAAACCUUUGCUUCCCUACCAAGCAUCUGGCUGAUAUCUUGAAGCUCACGCGCACGAGUCACUCCUUGAGACWUAGCAAUGUUUGCUCACAUGGACUUUUUUUCCUCCUUCCUUGUGGUGUGAGGCAUCAGCAAGAACUUGACUCUGAAUUAACGUUCUUUGAAUCCAAAGAGAUGGACACUGUAUCCUGGUCUGAGCGAUCUUAGGGCACUGAGAUCCUGGUCU
Molecule: long non-coding RNA, 1510 nt
Organism: Nothoprocta perdicaria
Lineage: Eukaryota; Metazoa; Chordata; Aves; Tinamiformes; Tinamidae
Exons: 2
Source: RefSeq, a predicted model, not a curated record